Long non-coding RNA from Hirundo rustica (Barn swallow), 2425 nucleotides. RefSeq lists it as uncharacterized. Lineage: Eukaryota; Metazoa; Chordata; Aves; Passeriformes; Hirundinidae. The transcript has 8 exons. The record is from RefSeq and is a predicted model, not a curated record.
GCUCGCUCUCCUUCCGCCGCCCUGUUCCCGCCGUGCCGGCCGCAGCUGCGCCGGGAACGGGGAAAAUCCCCUCGGCUCGGGCGGCGCCGCCGGGAAGGAGCGAACGGCGGCCUCAGCCGGAACGGCGUGGUGGGAGUCUCCUGAUGGGAAUGAGUCCUGGAAACAGAACGGAGAGUCCGUGAGAAACGAGAACGCUGCAGCUGGAGCGCUGAGAACGGAGAGCUUCAUGAAGCCCUUGUCUUCUGCUGGUAGCAGCGUCUGAGCCCAGGCCUCGGGGGCUGUGUGAAGAUUCCUCCCCGGAGCGGGGUCAGCCCGUGCGGAUGAGCCGCAGAGCUUCGGUCCUUGGAGCGGGUGCUGCCCAGGAUGGACAUCUGCGGUCUCAGAGAGCGAUUCCCCAGGAGGAAGGGGAGCCUUGGCCUCGCCUGCACGGCUCAGGACGGGAAAAAUCACUGAACUCCUCCCAUCUUUGCCAAAAGCUGCGGUGCUUAAGCAGCCAAAGCCAAGAGGCUUCGGCACCGGGGGUCCGCGCUGGAGGGGCUCCUGGUCCUGCCCCCGCUGGGGGGUAAAUCAGAGGGACGCGGGGUUCCUCUUUUCCCCUCUGCUGGGAUGAACUGCCUGGGGAACGCCAUUUCUGCCAGCCCGGUCCUGCCCGUGUCUGCUGGAGGAGGCGAGAGGUCAGCAGGAAGAAGAGGAAAUGUGGUGCCAGACCUGUCUCAUCAGCUUGUGCUUCCCUCUGAGGACAGAGAGUCUCUGGGCAAGAGAGCCGGGGCUGGCACAAGGACUCGUGCAGGUACUGACCUGGCACCGGAGCCGUUGUCCUUUGGAGCCAUUUUAAAGGUAUGAUCCUAGAGCCUUUUGGAGGCUGUUUCUGGAAUUCCAUUUGUAGCUGGAUCUCGCUCCAAGUGCUUCGGUCCAGUGAGAAGAACACGAACUCCCAGCCAUUCAGGCCUGACAGUUCCCUGUAGUGAGAGCUCAGCACACAUCCACAGAAGCAACCUCCAGCAUCUGAAAGAAAAAACCAAAACCACAGAACAAAAAGCCCCAGCCAUGUCCCUGGGGGACCCUUGGCAGAGUUGCCUGGAAUUCAGCUGAUUUCACCCCCCCCGAGCUCGGGCUCCCGUUGAUAUGCUAAAGCAGGAGAAGGCGCUGGCCGGACGCGCUCCCGGCCCGUGCCGAGGCAGCCCCUGUGCCCACGGGAGAACAUCUCUGCCUGCAGAAGCUCAGCUCCUUCCAGAGCCUCAGCGGUGGCCUCUACAAAUUCUUUCUCUCAGGAAAGGGAUGCACAUCCCUGCCUUCAGCACACCUCCAGUGGGACCCACCUGGAAAAGCUUUCCAUCACUUCCGUGCCUCCAGCCGGCUCCCUGAAAAACUCCAAGCAUCAUCCAAAGAUAACUUCAUCCCGCUUGAGCCUUUGAUUUUAAGGCAUCUCCGAGGGCUAUUGCUCAGGAUUUCAUUUCUGUGAGGGAAAAUUGCCUUGGCUUUCAUGCUGCUGAUGGAUAAUGUCCUCAGGCUGGAAAGGGGGGAUUUGGGGUGGCCAGGACAUACCUGGCAGCCGCGGGGGAGCUCCGGGAGGUGGGGACCGGGAAUCGCCGUCUGAGCCCCUCUGCGGAUGGCCCGAGCCGCCCGUGCCCAGGCAGUGCCAGCUGCUCCUCGGGGCGCCUCGGGGCUCUCGGUGGCCUCCGUGCGGGGUGAAGCAUCUCCCCGUGCCCGUGCAGAGCAGCCCCUGGCCUGUGCAGAGGAGCCCACGGCUCCUCCCCUGCACACCCCAAGGACAAGAAGUGCUGGUUGCCUUUCAGGGGCUGCCGGCCUCCUCCCGCCCCACGUUCCCGGCAGCCCAAGAUGUGCAGGAAACGCCAAAGAACACUGCUGGCAGCAAGGGGAGGCACCGAGGCCUCUGUGCAGCUCUGGGCUGGAAAAGCAGCCCCAGCCUCAGCAGCCACCAUCAUAUUGGCCUGGCAACACUCACCUUCAGGAAACGCCCCUCCGCAGGUGGGACCAGCCCUGCCUCUCUCCAGAGCUUUGGCUGUGGAGCAAGGGAAGCCUCGGGACUCGUCUGGCUCAUUUCUGUCUGGAAAAGGACAUUGUGUGAGCACUUUUAUGGCUGUUGGUUAAAUCCUGGAAAGGGCAGGAAGUCAGUGUUAUUGGAAGAGCUUCCAGGGGCAGGUGUGUAAAGCAGCUUCAGCAGAAAAGAAGGCUCUGUACUUCCCUUAGUGGUGCUAAGGAUUCCCAUCCUGGGGAGAUCCACCCCCCUCACUCAGAGAUUAGCUCAGCUGGUUGGAGCAGAAUCCUAGUCGUGCCAAGGUUGUGAAUUCAAUCCUCAAGUGGUCCACUUCCCUGAGAGUCAGAUUUUAGGAUCCAUCUCAACCUCAAUGCCUCCUGUGAUCUGGAAAUAAAGAGGAAAAUUCUCAGCUGCAUUUUAAUAAAA